Molecule: transfer-messenger RNA, 130 nt
Filed under: Brevundimonas sp.
Lineage: Bacteria; Pseudomonadati; Pseudomonadota; Alphaproteobacteria; Caulobacterales; Caulobacteraceae
Description: partial transfer-messenger RNA
Rfam family: Alphaproteobacteria transfer-messenger RNA
About the family: Bacterial tmRNA, also known as 10Sa RNA or SsrA, is named for its dual tRNA and mRNA-like properties.
Source: RNAcentral
GGGCUUGGAAACCGCCCAGGCCACGCCUAUAUUCGCGUCGUUCGGCUUCGGCCGGACUAUGGCGAUAAAGGCGCCUGUAAUAAGCGGACCGGACCCGGGUGCGAUUCCCGGCGGCUCCACCAUUUCUCCC